Non-coding RNA from Brassica napus (rape), 125 nucleotides. The record is from Rfam. NCBI's taxonomy places the organism in Eukaryota, Viridiplantae, Streptophyta, Magnoliopsida, Brassicales, Brassicaceae.
GGAAGUUAAAAAACUGUUUCUUAACUUUUAACUAAAAAGGCUAAGAACUGGUUAUUAAAAUUCUUAUUUAAAAACCGGUUCUUAACUUUUUUAUUUAAAAGUUAAGAAAUAGUUUUUUAACUUCC